AAAGGGAGACCUAAUUCGGGUAUGGGAUGAAAAAAAAGUAGUCCCAACCAAGAAUCAAUCCCAAAAGGUCGGAGCGAGGCGAAAUUGGCUUUCAAACUAGGUUCUGGGUUCACAGAAGACCUGAAUCAGGAACAAGGGCUAUUAGCUCAGGUGGUUAGAGCGCACCCCUGAUAAGGGUGAGGUCCCUGGUUCGAGUCCAGGAUGGCCCACCUGCACAGGUGGCAAAAACAAGAGAAGCUCCGAAUCAGCACCUUAUCUUACUGACAUAGUAAGAGAGAAUGCUGGCUCUGAGUAAAGAGUCCAGAGGAACCUUGAAAACUGCAUAGAGCUAGGUGAAAAAGCCAAAAAAGAAGACCGCAAG
This 361-nucleotide transfer RNA is filed under the name uncultured Microcystis sp. Its description in RNAcentral is "partial 16S-23S ribosomal RNA intergenic spacer". The stretch from base 136 to 209 matches the Rfam family "tRNA". Lineage: Bacteria; Bacillati; Cyanobacteriota; Cyanophyceae; Chroococcales; Microcystaceae. The record is from RNAcentral.